GAUGAACGCUGGCGGCGUGCCUAAUACAUGCAAGUCGAGCGAACAGACGAGGAGCUUGCUGCUCUGACGUUAGCGGCGGACGGGUGAGUAACGCGUGGAUAACCUACCUAUAAGACUGGGAUAACUUCGGGAAACCGGAGCUAAUACCGGAUAAUAUAUUGAACCGCAUGGUUGAAUGGUGAAAGACGGUUUUGCUGUAACUUAUAGAUGGAUCCGCGCCGCAUUAGCUAGUUGGUAAGGUAACGGCUUACCAAGGCAACGAUGCGUAGCCGACCUGAGAGGGUGAUCGGCCACACGGGAACUGGGACACGCUCCAGACUCCUACGGGAGGCAGCAGUAGGCAACGUGACGCAAUGGGCGAAAGCCUGACGGAGCAACGCCGCGUGAGUGACGAAGGUCUUCGGAUCGUAAAACUCUGUUAUUAGGUAAGAACAAAUGUGUAAGUAACUAUGCACGUCUUGACGGUACCUAAUCAGAAAGCCACGGCUAACUACGUG
This 497-nucleotide ribosomal RNA is filed under the name uncultured bacterium. RNAcentral's name for it is "partial 16S ribosomal RNA". It matches the Rfam family "Bacterial small subunit ribosomal RNA", at positions 28 to 507 of the family's 1533-position model. The record is from RNAcentral.